RNAcentral lists this ribosomal RNA (400 nucleotides) under uncultured bacterium. Its description in RNAcentral is "bacterial SSU rRNA". It matches the Rfam family "Bacterial small subunit ribosomal RNA", at positions 355 to 769 of the family's 1533-position model. The record is from RNAcentral.
UGGGGAAUAUUGCACAAUGGGGGAAACCCUGAUGCAGCGACGCCGCGUGAGCGAAGAAGGCUUUCGGGUUGUAAACUUCUUUUCUCAGGGACGAAGCAAGUGACGGUACCUGAGGAAUAAGCCACGGCUAACUACGUGCCAGCAGCCGCGGUAAUACGUAUGGUGCAAGCGUUAUCCGGAUUUACUGGGUGUAAAGGGAGCGUAGACGGUUGUGUAAGUCUGAUGUGAAAGCCCGGGGCUCAACCCCGGGACUGGAUUGGAAACUAUGUAACUAGAGUGUCGGAGAGGUAAGCGGAAUUCCUAGUGUAGCGGUGAAAUGCAUAGAUAUUAGGAGGAACACCAGUGGCGAAGGCGGCUUACUGGACGAUCACUGACGUUGAGGCUCGAAAGCGUGGGGAGC